RNAcentral lists this transfer RNA (73 nucleotides) under Ignavibacteriota bacterium. RNAcentral describes it as "tRNA-Lys". It matches the Rfam family "tRNA". From Rfam's summary of the family: Transfer RNA (tRNA) molecules are approximately 80 nucleotides in length. Their secondary structure includes four short double-helical elements and three loops (D, anti-codon, and T loops). Lineage: Bacteria; Pseudomonadati; Ignavibacteriota. RNAcentral also lists the same sequence under 3 other names. The record is from RNAcentral.
GCAUCCGUAGCUCAGUUGGUAGAGCAGUAGACUCUUAAUCUAUUGGUCAGGGGUUCGAGUCCCCUCGGGUGUA